This 377-nucleotide ribosomal RNA is filed under the name uncultured organism. RNAcentral's name for it is "bacterial SSU rRNA". It matches the Rfam family "Bacterial small subunit ribosomal RNA", at positions 526 to 896 of the family's 1533-position model. The record is from RNAcentral.
CAGAGGAGCCAAGCGUUGUCCGGAUUGACUGGGCGUAAAGCGCACGCAGGCGGUUGCGCGCGUGGGGUGUGAAAUCUGGCCGCUUAACGGCCAGGCGCCAUCCCAUACGGCGCGACUGGAGUGAUGCAGAGGUCGAUGGAAUUGCCGGUGUAGUGGUGAAAUGCGUAGAGAUCGGCAGGAACACCCAGGGGGAAACCAGUCGACUGGGCAUCUACUGACGCUGAGGUGCGAGAGCGUGGGGAGCGAACCGGAUUAGAUACCCGGGUAGUCCACGCCGUAAACGAUGGCCACUCGGCCUUUGGAGGCGGAAUCUCCGUCUUUGGGGGCCUUAGCUAACGCGGGAAGUGGCCCGCCUGGGAACUACGAGCGCAAGCUUA